AUGGAUCUCAGGGCCGCAAAAUUUGCUAGCAAGGUUUUUAGCAUUCAGCAGAAUGCGUUUAUUAAGGGGCGACAUAUAGUGGAUGGUAUCUCAUCCUUACAUGAGGUGUUGCACUAUACUCAUAUCAAAAAGGAGGUGGGUGUGAUCUUUAAGAUCGACUUUGAGAAAGCCUACGACAAAGUGAAUUGGGACUUCUUACUAGACUGUCAUGCUAAACGUGGGUUCAAUUCAAAAUGGUGUGGGUGGGUGUCGCAAAUCCUUAGGAAUGGCACGGUGAGUGUUAAAAUCAAUGAUGAGACUGGUCCAUGCCUCAUGGAGUGCUAA
This 324-nucleotide ribosomal RNA is filed under the name Triticum aestivum (bread wheat). RNAcentral describes it as "partial small subunit ribosomal RNA". Lineage: Eukaryota; Viridiplantae; Streptophyta; Magnoliopsida; Poales; Poaceae. The record is from RNAcentral.